RNAcentral lists this ribosomal RNA (396 nucleotides) under uncultured bacterium. Its description in RNAcentral is "partial 16S ribosomal RNA". It matches the Rfam family "Bacterial small subunit ribosomal RNA", at positions 338 to 732 of the family's 1533-position model. The record is from RNAcentral.
CCUACGGGAGGCAGCAGUGAGGAAUAUUGGUCAAUGGUCGGGAGCCUGAACCAGCCAAGCCGCGUGAGGGAUGAAGGUCCUACGGGUCGUAAACCUCUUUUGUCAGGGAACAAAGUCGGGCACGUGUCCCCUUAUGUAUGUACCUUAUGAAAAAGGAUCGGCUAACUCCGUGCCAGCAGCCGCGGUAAUACGGAGGCUUCGAGCGUUAUCCGGUUUUAUUGGGUUUAAGGGGUGCGCGGGGGGGCUGUUAAGUCAGCGGUAAAAGUUCGGGGCUCAACCCCGACCUGCCGUUGAAACUGGCAGUCUUGAGUGGGAGAGAGGUAGGCGGAAUGCGCGGUGUAGCGGUGAAAUGCAUAGAUAUCGCGCAGAACUCCGAUUGCGAAGGCAGCAUGCCGG